CAACUUGCUAACCCGGUGGCAACCGCUUGUAAUUUGGAUAACAAGGAGAUAUUGAACGAGAUGUCAACAACAGGGGGCAGUGAUCGGAGCCAACAGGAGGUAGUGCAAAAACUUCUACAGAAGGGUGAGAUGUCAGCCAUUCCAGUGAGCAGAACACCCGAUCAAGCUUCUCCUUUACCAGAGCAUCCCCUUCUCGGUUAUUGGACCAGGUCUCUGGCCCAUCUUCUCCCAUGGAGAAAGGAAAUCAUUGAAAUCACCGAGACAUAGCCAAGGUAAAUGAGUUGCAGCAUAGAGGAUUCGUAUGGUAUCCCAGAAGUCUUGAUGGAGUUGAUAAGUUGGAGGGGCGUGCAAGCAAGUAAUAUGAGUGGAGGCUGAUGUCCUAUGAUCACAGGCAAUGAAAUCCAGAAAGUGAGAAUCCGUAUGUACAAGAGUAACAUCAAAACUGUCAUUCCAAAACAGAGCUAGACCACCCUUGAGGCCCUCAGGUUCCUUCACAAAAGAGGCCAGCCGCCAAAGCCCAAAGAUCAUGGAUAGCUGCCUCCAAAACAGGGGCAUCCAGAAGGAGAGACUCAUCAAAAGCUGCCGAUGAGUUAGAGCUCGAUUCGUCAAUUCUGCGGCCGGGAGUCUUCAAAUUCUUGUGCUCGCGAAUCUUCAAUUCAUUGAACAGACUCACCCUCGAGAGAGUUGGUUUGUUGAGCUUUUAGUUAACCAAUUCUGUAGCCCGUGGGUAUCGUGAUCCCAGGGACUGGGGCUCGACCAAAGACAGCAUCUUCUGCAGGAUCAUUCUCAGCAAUUGCCCGCAUUCAAGGUACCUGAUUUAUUUUGAUUCUGGUUCUUUUGAAUCGAGGAUGGAUAGCUAUCUUCUUCAAUGCCAAAGCUCAUUUCAAUUCAGAAUUUUGCAUCUCGUGCGUUAUUCCUGCUGAAAGAUCCGAGCUUGAUGUCCUGUUGGGGUUGGUGCUUGUGUGCGGAAGAAUGACAUCCACAUAUUGUAUUCAACAUUAUCAGAAUGUAUGACUGCUAGAAUGAUCGGAUCCUUCUUCAUUCAUUCGAUCUAUUCAUUUUGUACUUCCAGCUCUGUGAAGAUGAGAAAGUGCCUGCGCAUA
Long non-coding RNA from Eucalyptus grandis, 1103 nucleotides. RefSeq lists it as uncharacterized. The transcript has 5 exons. NCBI's taxonomy places the organism in Eukaryota, Viridiplantae, Streptophyta, Magnoliopsida, Myrtales, Myrtaceae. The record is from RefSeq and is a predicted model, not a curated record.